AGAAAGGUAUAGCUGUAAUAGU
This 22-nucleotide microRNA is filed under the name Picea abies (Norway spruce). Its description in RNAcentral is "pab-miR11425a". Lineage: Eukaryota; Viridiplantae; Streptophyta; Pinopsida; Pinales; Pinaceae. The record is from miRBase by way of RNAcentral.